GUACCAGUUUUCCUUUAAUGGAACUGAUGAGGCAUGGAAUGAGCCAAGUGUCAGGCUGGUCUGUGCUGUCCAGAAUUGGUGAAUUUCAAAUGAGAGGCUCCUCUAUUGAAACGGAACAAUAGGGUUCUUAAUCAGUGGACCUUUUCCCCUUGUCAGUUCCUGGGUCAACUGAUGGACCACACUGCUUUGUAGCAACUCUGUCUAUGAGGGCUUUCAUGUGGC
Notolabrus celidotus (New Zealand spotty) is the source of this 222-nucleotide long non-coding RNA. RefSeq lists it as uncharacterized. NCBI's taxonomy places the organism in Eukaryota, Metazoa, Chordata, Actinopteri, Labriformes, Labridae. The record is from RefSeq and is a predicted model, not a curated record. The transcript is spliced from 3 exons.